AAAUUCAAAGGUGAGACAUUGAAGAAUCUGCUGUGGGCCAUGGCCAGAUCUACAAACUUACCAAGAUGGAAUGAGAACAGAGAAAAAAUAAGAGAGGCUUCCAUUGAUGCUUACAAUUGGUUAGAGGGAAAGCCACCUAAUCAAUGGGUGAAAAACUUCUUCCGUGAUUUUCCAAAGUAUGAUAUUCUUUUGAACAAUAUGUCUGAGGUGUAUAAUAGUUACAUACUUGAAGCUAGAGAGCUUUGUGUUGUGUCAAUGUUGGAGUGCAUCCUUGCAAAGAUUUCACAAAGGCAUGCAAGCAAACACAGAGAAGCAGUUGAGAAAUGGACAGGAAGAAUUUGCCCAAAAAUUAGGAAGAAGCUUGAGAAGAAUGCAGAAUUUUCUGCCAAUUGUUUUGCAACAAAUGCUGGCAAUGGUAUAUUCAAUGUGCAGUCUGGGCCCAACUCAUAUAUUGUUGGCAUCAUAGCAAGGACUUGUAAUUGCAAAAGG
This 489-nucleotide ribosomal RNA is filed under the name Triticum aestivum (bread wheat). Its description in RNAcentral is "partial small subunit ribosomal RNA". Lineage: Eukaryota; Viridiplantae; Streptophyta; Magnoliopsida; Poales; Poaceae. The record is from RNAcentral.